ACUAUUGGUUUAAUGGCAAAAGGUAAACGCAAAUAUGAAUGGUUUAUAAUGGAAAUUUGCAAAACUACAUUUUUUUACUACCCUUUCGUAUUAAUAUCUUUUUGUGUUUUCUAUUUUUAAAAAUACCCCUUCCAUUGAACAGAAUGACCAAAUUACCCUCAUCUAAUAGGAAUAUGUAAUUGGAAACUGAAAUUUUCCCGCUAAAUUUUUGGCGCCAAAAUUUUUCCUACCAAAAAAAAGUUCGUGACAAAUUUUUUCUCAGCAAAAGAAAUGCUUUUAAAAAUCCUUGUAAAUUUUUUUUGGCGGGACACAGAUUUACAAAGGAUUUUAAAAGUAUUUUAAAAGAUUUACAAGUGAUUUUAAAAGGGUUUAAAAAUAUUUACAAGGGAUUUUAAAGGGCUUUCAAAGAUUUAUAAAGGUUUUUUAAUGAUUUUUAAAGGGUUUAAAAGUGUUUUAAAAGAUUUACAAGGGAUUUUAAAUGAGUUUUAUAAUAUUUACAAGGGAUUUUAAAAGUGUUUUACAAGAUUUACAAGAGAUUUUAAAAGGUUUUAAUAAAAUUUACAAGAGUUUUUAAAGGAUUUUCUUGUAAAUUCUUUAAAAAUCUUUUAAAAAUCCUUGUACAUCUUUUAAAACUCUUUUAAAAUUUCUUGUAAAUCUUUAAAACCCUUUUAAAAUCCCUUGUAAAUAUUUUAAAACGCUUUUAAACCCUUUAAAAAUCUUUUAAAAACCUUUAUAAAUUUUUUAAAGCCCUUUAAAAUCCUUUGUAAAUGUAUUAAAACCCUUUUAAAAUCACUUGUAAAUAUUUUAAAACCCUUUUAAAAUCUCUUGUAAAUCUUUUAAAAUCCCUUUAAAAUCCCUUUAAAAUCCCUUGUAAAUAUUUUAAAACUUUUUUAAAAUCGCUUUAAAAUCUUUUAAAACUCUUUUAAAAUCAUUUGUAAAUCUAUUUCCCGCCAAAAAAAAAAAAUUUUACGGGAAAAAUAUUUUUGAAAAAAGUUUUGGCAGGAAUCGUUUUUUCAAAAAAUUUUGGCGGGAAAAUUUUGGCGGGAAUUUUAUUUUGGAAUAUUUUAGGCGAAAAAUAUUAAUAUUUCAUUUUGUUAACCUAAAACAAUUUCUAAAUAGGGGUAAAAUGGUCAAUAAAAAAUUAAAGAGGGUAGAAAUAAAAAUGGCAAAUAGAAAAAUGGUAGAAUUGGAAAAGAGUAGUUUGCAAAGGGCAUUCUCAGCAAUUAUCCUGAGUAUUAGUCAGAAGAUAUUCUUAUUCCAAUUUUUUUUUGACAUAGUAUGAAAAUAAUAAGAAUAACCAGAUUAUAACAU
Molecule: small RNA, 1311 nt
Filed under: Arabidopsis thaliana (thale cress)
Lineage: Eukaryota; Viridiplantae; Streptophyta; Magnoliopsida; Brassicales; Brassicaceae
Description: ATSL018850
Source: RNAcentral